RNAcentral lists this long non-coding RNA (954 nucleotides) under Homo sapiens (human). RNAcentral describes it as "long independently transcribed non-coding RNA 1643, transcript variant 3 (LINC01643)". Lineage: Eukaryota; Metazoa; Chordata; Mammalia; Primates; Hominidae. The record is from RNAcentral.
AGAAACAGGCAGCCUGACUAGAGAACAAACUACCAAUUAACGAGCGAGGAAACAGGGCCAGAGAAUUGGAACAAAAUACAAGGCUGCCUCUGAAAGGAAUAUCUUUGUGCUGAUGUGUCCAUCAAGAGAACAUACACAGAAGUGACACUUGCCAGUAAUUUGCAAGCAGAUGGAACUUCAAUAUGGCAAUAGAGAAAGAAUCAAUUAGACCAGAGUCUCCUCAGGAAGACUUUCUAUAGAUAUCUGGUGAGCAUCUGCUAGAUGCCAGGGUUGGGGAGAGUCAAGUUGAAGCAAGCAUGAACCCUCAAGGACCUACCAUUUCAAGGCAAGAAAUAGAUACAAAUACAGAAAAUAUUUACUGGAUAGCUACUAGACAUAAGGAUGCAGAAAUGAAUUAGAAAAAUUCCUCGCCCUUGUUCAAAGCUAUGCUGGCUCUUAGAACAUCUGAGCCCCCACUGUUUCAUCUUUAGAGGAUCCCAGCUGCUGGGGUGUGAGGCCAGUGCUGGAGCCAGCAGUCUCUGACCCAGAAGGGACCUGAGGUGCUAAAGAAAAGGGUACAAGCUGGAAAAGGGGAAAAUGAAUCAUGCUACAGGCCAAGUGUCCAUCACUGAUUCCCAGAGAUGCCCUUUGUGUGGUAGGCACUUCCAUGUGGACUCGCUACAGAGGUCAUAAGACCCUAAUUCCAGAGGGCCCUACCCUAUAACCAGAAGGAAGAACUAUUGCACAGAGAAUCUAAGAAGAAUCUAGACAGACAGCCCUUGCUGGAUUUCUCCACUCUGUUAGCAUUCGAUCAUUUGCCUUUUGUCCAGUCAUAUUUCUGCAUGGCUGUCCAUACUUUGUUGAACCUAAGCACAAAAUGGAAAGUUUUCCCUGUAUCUUUGGGUCGUCAUUCUGAAGGCUCCCAUGUUAUGUAAAACUAUGAUCAAAUAAAUAUGCAUGCCUUUUCUCCUAUAA